UGGCAGGACUAAAUAAACUCUUC
This 23-nucleotide non-coding RNA is filed under the name Cricetulus griseus (Chinese hamster). The record is from RNAcentral. Lineage: Eukaryota; Metazoa; Chordata; Mammalia; Rodentia; Cricetidae.